CACGCUCUGGCCUAGAUUUUAAACUGAGCGGAGAUAUGCUUCGCUUCGUGCAAAAAGAAGUCAGACGUUUCAAGCGAUAAUUAACGGGCUGUCGUUUUGUGAUCCUGGUGUUACUACUAUAUGACACUGUAGUGAAUACUGCAGUCGACAAGUUUUAAGGUCGUCAUCACCGACGUUGUCAUAGACUCAAUCAACCCAAUAUCGAUCAGCUGUGCGAUGCUACUUACUCACCGUCCAAUACAGUGAUGAUGGUGACCUCCCAUACGAAAAUGCGCAAUUUGCAUCGAGCAUGUUCUGCUACUCAGAUCACUCCGAUCGCUUAUCAUGAGCAGGGCAGCUGCGUGAUCAGUUGCUUUCUCUGAUAAUCAACAACAACCGGUGUUGCUGACAAUUUUUUGAAUCGCGUACCGUCAUUUGGACAUGAGUCAAUUGAGCUUUAUUCAAGUCAAUCAAGAGCCAUCUGUUAUUUAGCAGACCCAUUUAUUUUUAACUUCUAACAGAUAUUUUAACUAAAAAUUAUCUUAAAACUCUUCCAAUAUGAAAAAUAGUGUAUAAACAUGUAAUGGCGCUAUACAUUCGUGUUUUUUGUUGUUUGUGUGGUAUGCAAUUAAACAGUGCCGCCUGCACCGAAUGCCAGCUACAUACGUUUAGACCAAGUUGAUUGUCUAUAGCGUAUGUACACUUGCUGUGUCAUUGUCAUCCAUCUUCGUUAGUCUAGAGUGCAUACCUGCCUGGAUUAGGAGCACUCAAUUACUGUCGCAUGGAUAGAAAUGCUAGCAUAAACGUUCCCCUGGAGAUACCUGAAUUGGGUCUUACUGGCAGGAAGAAAACGCGAUCGUGGGCUAUUGCUGACGGACCUUGAGAAAUACAUAUCCAGCGGUCGGAUUGCCCGAUGAC
Varroa destructor (honeybee mite) is the source of this 897-nucleotide long non-coding RNA. Lineage: Eukaryota; Metazoa; Arthropoda; Arachnida; Mesostigmata; Varroidae. The record is from RefSeq and is a predicted model, not a curated record.